This 2893-nucleotide ribosomal RNA is filed under the name Campylobacter coli. Its description in RNAcentral is "bacterial LSU rRNA". It matches the Rfam family "Bacterial large subunit ribosomal RNA". Lineage: Bacteria; Pseudomonadati; Campylobacterota; Epsilonproteobacteria; Campylobacterales; Campylobacteraceae. RNAcentral also lists the same sequence under 1 other name. The record is from RNAcentral.
AGAGCGAAUGGUGGAUGCCUUGACUGGUAAAGGCGAUGAAGGACGUACUAGACUGCGAUAAGCUACGGGGAGCUGUCAAGAAGCUUUGAUCCGUAGAUUUCCGAAUGGGGCAACCCAAUGUAUAGAGAUAUACAUUACCUAUAUAGGAGCGAACGAGGGGAAUUGAAACAUCUUAGUACCCUCAGGAAAAGAAAUCAAUAGAGAUUGCGUCAGUAGCGGCGAGCGAAAGCGCAAGAGGGCAAACCCAGUGCUUGCACUGGGGGUUGUAGGACUGCAAUGUGCAAGAGGUGAGUUUAGCAGAACAUUCUGGAAAGUAUAGCCAUAGAGGGUGAUAGUCCCGUAUGCGAAAAACAAACCUUAGCUAGCAGUAUCCUGAGUAGGGCGGGACACGAGAAAUCCUGUCUGAAGCUGGGUCGACCACGAUCCAACCCUAAAUACUAAUACCAGAUCGAUAGUGCACAAGUACCGUGAGGGAAAGGUGAAAAGAACUGAGGUGAUCAGAGUGAAAUAGAACCUGAAACCAUUUGCUUACAAUCAUUCAGAGCACUAUGUAGCAAUACAGUGUGAUGGACUGCCUUUUGCAUAAUGAGCCUGCGAGUUGUGGUGUCUGGCAAGGUUAAGCAAACGCGAAGCCGUAGCGAAAGCGAGUCUGAAUAGGGCGCUUAGUCAGAUGCUGCAGACCCGAAACGAAGUGAUCUAUCCAUGAGCAAGUUGAAGCUAGUGUAAGAACUAGUGGAGGACUGAACCCAUAGGCGUUGAAAAGCCCCGGGAUGACUUGUGGAUAGGGGUGAAAGGCCAAUCAAACUUCGUGAUAGCUGGUUCUCUCCGAAAUAUAUUUAGGUAUAGCGUUGUGUCGUAAUAUAAGGGGGUAGAGCACUGAAUGGGCUAGGGCAUACACCAAUGUACCAAACCCUAUCAAACUCCGAAUACCUUAUAUGUAAUCACAGCAGUCAGGCGGCGAGUGAUAAAAUCCGUCGUCAAGAGGGAAACAACCCAGACUACCAGCUAAGGUCCCUAAAUCUUACUUAAGUGGAAAACGAUGUGAAGUUACUUAAACAACCAGGAGGUUGGCUUAGAAGCAGCCAUCCUUUAAAGAAAGCGUAAUAGCUCACUGGUCUAGUGAUUUUGCGCGGAAAAUAUAACGGGGCUAAAGUAAGUACCGAAGCUGUAGACUUGACUUUGUCAAGUGGUAGGAGAGCGUUCUAUUUGCGUCGAAGGUAUACCGGUAAGGAGUGCUGGAGCGAAUAGAAGUGAGCAUGCAGGCAUGAGUAGCGAUAAUUAAUGUGAGAAUCAUUAACGCCGUAAACCCAAGGUUUCCUACGCGAUGCUCGUCAUCGUAGGGUUAGUCGGGUCCUAAGUCGAGUCCGAAAGGGGUAGACGAUGGCAAAUUGGUUAAUAUUCCAAUACCAACAUUAGUGUGCGAUGGAAGGACGCUUAGGGCUAAGGGGGCUAGCGGAUGGAAGUGCUAGUCUAAGGUCGUAGGUGCUUAUACAGGCAAAUCCGUAUAAGAAUACACCGAGAACUGAAAGGCUUUUUGAAGUCUUCGGAUGGAUAGAAGAACCCCUGAUGCCGUCGAGCCAAGAAAAGUUUCUAAGUUUAGCUAAUGUUGCCCGUACCGUAAACCGACACAGGUGGGUGGGAUGAGUAUUCUAAGGCGCGUGGAAGAACUCUCUUUAAGGAACUCUGCAAAAUAGCACCGUAUCUUCGGUAUAAGGUGUGGUUCGCUUCGUAUUAGGAUUUACUCCGAAAGCGAAGAAACUUACAACAAAGAGUCCCUCCCGACUGUUUACCAAAAACACAGCACUCUGCUAACUCGUAAGAGGAUGUAUAGGGUGUGACGCCUGCCCGGUGCUCGAAGGUUAAUUGAUGGGGUUAGCAUUAGCGAAGCUCUUGAUCGAAGCCCGAGUAAACGGCGGCCGUAACUAUAACGGUCCUAAGGUAGCGAAAUUCCUUGUCGGUUAAAUACCGACCUGCAUGAAUGGCGUAACGAGAUGGGAGCUGUCUCAAAGAGGGAUCCAGUGAAAUUGUAGUGGAGGUGAAAAUUCCUCCUACCCGCGGCAAGACGGAAAGACCCCGUGGACCUUUACUACAGCUUGACACUGCUACUUGGAUAAGAAUGUGCAGGAUAGGUGGGAGGCUUUGAGUAUAUGACGCCAGUUGUAUAUGAGCCAUUGUUGAGAUACCACUCUUUCUUAUUUGGGUAGCUAACCAGCUUGAGUUAUCCUCAAGUGGGACAAUGUCUGGUGGGUAGUUUGACUGGGGCGGUCGCCUCCCAAAUAAUAACGGAGGCUUACAAAGGUUGGCUCAGAACGGUUGGAAAUCGUUCGUAGAGUAUAAAGGUAUAAGCCAGCUUAACUGCAAGACAUACAAGUCAAGCAGAGACGAAAGUCGGUCUUAGUGAUCCGGUGGUUCUGUGUGGAAGGGCCAUCGCUCAAAGGAUAAAAGGUACCCCGGGGAUAACAGGCUGAUCUCCCCCAAGAGCUCACAUCGACGGGGAGGUUUGGCACCUCGAUGUCGGCUCAUCGCAUCCUGGGGCUGGAGCAGGUCCCAAGGGUAUGGCUGUUCGCCAUUUAAAGCGGUACGCGAGCUGGGUUCAGAACGUCGUGAGACAGUUCGGUCCCUAUCUGCCGUGGGCGUAAGAAGAUUGAAGAGAUUUGACCCUAGUACGAGAGGACCGGGUUGAACAAACCACUGGUGUAGCUGUUGUUCUGCCAAGAGCAUCGCAGCGUAGCUAAGUUUGGAAAGGAUAAACGCUGAAAGCAUCUAAGCGUGAAGCCAACUCUAAGAUGAAUCUUCUCUAAGCUCUCUAGAAGACUACUAGUUUGAUAGGCUGGGUGUGUAAUGGAUGAAAGUCCUUUAGCUGACCAGUACUAAUAGAGCGUUUGGCUUAUCU